Molecule: ribosomal RNA, 301 nt
Filed under: uncultured bacterium
Lineage: Bacteria
Description: bacterial SSU rRNA
Rfam family: Bacterial small subunit ribosomal RNA
Source: RNAcentral
AGUCAAUAGAUACCCCGGGUAGUCCACGCCGUAAACGAUGAUGACUAGCUGUCCGGGCACUUAGUGCUUGGGUGGCGCAGCUAACGCGUUAAGUCAUCCGCCUGGGGAGUACGGCCGCAAGGUUAAAACUCAAAGAAAUUGACGGGGGCCUGCACAAGCGGUGGAGCAUGUGGUUUAAUUCGAAGCAACGCGCAGAACCUUACCAGCGUUUGACAUGGUAGGACGGUUUCCAGAGAUGGAUUCCUUCCCUUACGGGACCUACACACAGGUGCUGCAUGGCUGUCGUCAGCUCGUGUCGUGA